UGGCAUUGGGAAACCCUGUUGCGGUGGCCUACCGGCAAACUGAGGUGGCAGCGGUGGAGGUGGACCCCGACCCAUUGGAGGAGCUUGACCAGGAUAAGCAGGAGGAGGCAUCUGGCCAGGUGGACGUAAGACGGGGGCGGCACCAGCCGGUGGAGCCGCUGCUGCAGGGUAAGUCAUAGGCGGAGCAGAAAGUUGUGGGACCGGAGGACGCGAGAGCUGCGGCUGCAUCAUGCCGGGUGCAGGCCCACCAACGCC
RNAcentral lists this long non-coding RNA (255 nucleotides) under Manihot esculenta (cassava). RNAcentral describes it as "long non-coding RNA (MESC_LNC003494)". Lineage: Eukaryota; Viridiplantae; Streptophyta; Magnoliopsida; Malpighiales; Euphorbiaceae. The record is from RNAcentral.